Molecule: ribosomal RNA, 1364 nt
Filed under: uncultured bacterium
Lineage: Bacteria
Description: bacterial SSU rRNA
Rfam family: Bacterial small subunit ribosomal RNA
Source: RNAcentral
AUUGAACGCUGGCGGCAGGCCUAACACAUGCAAGUCGAACGGUAACAGGAAACAGCUUGCUGUUUCGCUGACGAGUGGCGGACGGGUGAGUAAUGUCUGGGAAACUGCCUGAUGGAGGGGGAUAACUACUGGAAACGGUAGCUAAUACCGCAUAACGUCGCAAGACCAAAGAGGGGGACCUUCGGGCCUCUUGCCAUCGGAUGUGCCCAGAUGGGAUUAGCUUGUUGGUGGGGUAACGGCUCACCAAGGCGACGAUCCCUAGUUGGUCUGAGAGGAUGACCAGCCACACUGGAACUGAGACACGGUCCAGACUCCUACGGGAGGCAGCAGUGGGGAAUAUUGCACAAUGGGCGCAAGCCUGAUGCAGCCAUGCCGCGUGUAUGAAGAAGGCCUUCGGGUUGUAAAGUACUUUCAGCGGGGAGGAAGGGAGUAAAGUUAAUACCUUUGCUCAUUGACGUUACCCGCAGAAGAAGCACCGGCUAACUCCGUGCCAGCAGCCGCGGUAAUACGGAGGGUGCAAGCGUUAAUCGGAAUUACUGGGCGUAAAGCGCACGCAGGCGGUUUGUUAAGUCAGAUGUGAAAUCCCCGGGCUCAACCUGGGAACUGCAUCUGAUACUGGCAAGCUUGAGUCUCGUAGAGGGGGGUAGAAUUCCAGGUGUAGCGGUGAAAUGCGUAGAGAUCUGGAGGAAUACCGGUGGCGAAGGCGGCCCCCUGGACGAAGACUGACGCUCAGGUGCGAAAGCGUGGGGGAGCAAACAGGAUUAGAUACCCUGGUAGUCCACGCCGUAAACGAUGUCGACUUGGAGGUUGUGCCCUUGAGGCGUGGCUUCCGGAGCUAACGCGUUAAGUCGACCGCCUGGGGAGUACGGCCGCAAGGUUAAAACUCAAAUGAAUUGACGGGGGCCCGCACAAGCGGUGGAGCAUGUGGUUUAAUUCGAUGCAACGCGAAGAACCUUACCUGGUCUUGACAUCCACGGAAGUUUUCAGAGAUGAGAAUGUGCCUUCGGGAACCGUGAGACAGGUGCUGCAUGGCUGUCGUCAGCUCGUGUUGUGAAAUGUUGGGUUAAGUCCCGCAACGAGCGCAACCCUUAUCCUUUGUUGCCAGCGGUCCGGCCGGGAACUCAAAGGAGACUGCCAGUGAUAAACUGGAGGAAGGUGGGGAUGACGUCAAGUCAUCAUGGCCCUUACGACCAGGGCUACACACGUGCUACAAUGGCGCAUACAAAGAGAAGCGACCUCGCGAGAGCAAGCGGACCUCAUAAAGUGCGUCGUAGUCCGGAUUGGAGUCUGCAACUCGACUCCAUGAAGUCGGAAUCGCUAGUAAUCGUGGAUCAGAAUGCCACGGUGAAUACGUUCCCGGGCCU